Molecule: small RNA, 51 nt
Filed under: Vibrio cholerae O1 biovar El Tor str. N16961
Lineage: Bacteria; Pseudomonadati; Pseudomonadota; Gammaproteobacteria; Vibrionales; Vibrionaceae
Source: RNAcentral
ACUAAACUCAAUCACAACAACCGUAACCACCGCGGUUCAAUGGGACUGGAA